Molecule: ribosomal RNA, 253 nt
Filed under: uncultured bacterium
Lineage: Bacteria
Description: partial 16S ribosomal RNA
Rfam family: Bacterial small subunit ribosomal RNA
Source: RNAcentral
GACGAACCGUGCGAACGUUGUUCGGAAUCACUGGGCAUAAAGGGCGCGUAGGCGGCUUAUCAAGUCAGGGGUGAAAUCCGGCAGCUCAACUGUCGAAGUGCCUUUGAUACUGAUGAGCUCGAGGGAGGUAGGGGUCUGUGGAACUUCCGGUGGAGCGGUGAAAUGCGUUGAUAUCGGAAGGAACGCCGGUGGCGAAAGCGACAGACUGGAUCUCUUCUGACGCUGAGGAGCGAAAGCCAGGGGAGCAAACGGG